UACGUAGGGGGCAAGCGUUGUCCGGAAUCAUUGGGCGUAAAGCGCGUGUAGGCGGUCCGGUAAGUCCGCUGUGAAAGUCGGGGGCUCAACCCUCGGAUGCCGGUGGAUACUGUCGGGCUCGAGUACGGAAGAGGCGAGUGGAAUUCCUGGUGUAGCGGUGAAAUGCGCAGAUAUCAGGAGGAACACCAAUUGCGAAGGCAGCUCGCUGGGACGUCACUGACGCUGAGACGCGAAAGCGUGGGGAGCAAACAGG
This 253-nucleotide ribosomal RNA is filed under the name uncultured bacterium. RNAcentral describes it as "partial 16S ribosomal RNA". It matches the Rfam family "Bacterial small subunit ribosomal RNA", at positions 524 to 776 of the family's 1533-position model. The record is from RNAcentral.